CCGCAUCAACCAAAAUCCAAACUCAGUUGGUAUAUAUGGAGUUCAUUUCGGAUUUCAUGGUAUUGAGCUAUUUGUCAAAGUUACUACUCAUGACAGCUUUCGAAUAGGUUGUGGAAUCAUCAUUCUCAAUGAUGUGGGAUAUUGUCAUUCUUAAUGAUAAAUCCAUAUCUGAGUGGUAUAUUACGCACUCUAUUCGACCUUCGAAAAGGAGGUG
RNAcentral lists this long non-coding RNA (214 nucleotides) under Elaeis guineensis (African oil palm). RNAcentral's name for it is "long non-coding RNA (EGUI_LNC041003)". Lineage: Eukaryota; Viridiplantae; Streptophyta; Magnoliopsida; Arecales; Arecaceae. The record is from RNAcentral.